ACUCCUACGGGAGGCAGCAGUGGGGAAUAUUGCACAAUGGGCGCAAGCCUGAUGCAGCCAUGCCGCGUGUAUGAAGAAGGCCUUCGGGUUGUAAAGUACUUUCAGCAGUGAGGAAGGUGGGUAUGUUAAUAGCAUACUCAUUUGACGUUAGCUGCAGAAGAAGCACCGGCUAACUCCGUGCCAGCAGCCGCGGUAAUACGGAGGGUGCGAGCGUUAAUCGGAAUUACUGGGCGUAAAGCGCAUGCAGGUGGUUUGUUAAGUCAGAUGUGAAAGCCCGGGGCUCAACCUCGGAAUUGCAUUUGAAACUGGCAAACUAGAGUACUGUAGAGGGGGGUAGAAUUUCAGGUGUAGCGGUGAAAUGCGUAGAGAUCUGAAGGAAUACCGGUGGCGAAAGGCGGCCCCCUGGACAGAUACUGACACUCAGAUGCGAAAGCGUGGGGAGCAAACAGGAUUAGAUACCCUGGUAGGCUGAGC
This 474-nucleotide ribosomal RNA is filed under the name uncultured bacterium. RNAcentral's name for it is "bacterial SSU rRNA". It matches the Rfam family "Bacterial small subunit ribosomal RNA", at positions 335 to 800 of the family's 1533-position model. The record is from RNAcentral.